This is a long non-coding RNA of Eriocheir sinensis (Chinese mitten crab), 587 nucleotides long. RefSeq lists it as uncharacterized. The record is from RefSeq and is a predicted model, not a curated record. Lineage: Eukaryota; Metazoa; Arthropoda; Malacostraca; Decapoda; Varunidae. The transcript is spliced from 3 exons.
UCGACUUGUUUGAUAAGGGCAACAUCACAAACCAACUAUAGCUACACUCCUCUUCUUCCCUGAGCGUUGCAUGACCUCUUUACAUGCUGCGGUGUUCCUUAUAUUGUAAUAUCUCGUACUGAUCUGCCCAAGGACGUUGAAAAUGAAAACUACCGUCAAAUUUAGCUGGUGACAGGGAAAGUGUCCGCGCAUUUGCCAGACGUUUCGUGUUUACAGUGGAAUGAUGAUAUUUUGACUGGGGAGCAGCUGCCAACAUGAGAUGAGAGAAAGUCUUCAGCAACUCUGAAUAUAGAAUUUCACUCCGGCGACGCCGACGGGCGUCUGACAGCGUCACCGUAUGAAAAGGAUCCCAGCAGGGCUACCUUGGACUGGUGAAAAGAAGUACUUCCCUGCCUCAGCUUUAGACACCAACCAUCUCUUCAAGUAAACAGACAUGAAGGGAACCUUCCAGUCUCCCAUUUGUCAAAAGUGUACCACACUAUACUAGAUGACAUACACCUACCACACUGUCCAGUCCUAACACAACUCAGGCACCAAUAUACUUGCUCUCCAAGACCUGCAGUCUCACCUCAUGGUGGUGCGACUUA